This is a small nucleolar RNA of Peromyscus maniculatus bairdii (prairie deer mouse), 69 nucleotides long. Its record names the gene SNORD27. It matches the Rfam family "Small nucleolar RNA SNORD27". Rfam says of the family: U27 is a member of the C/D class of snoRNA which contain the C (UGAUGA) and D (CUGA) box motifs. Lineage: Eukaryota; Metazoa; Chordata; Mammalia; Rodentia; Cricetidae. The record is from Ensembl.
ACUUAAUGAUGAGUGUAAAUGACAAGCAUAUGGCUGAAUUGCAGUGAUGUCAUCUUUCUACUGAAAAGU